Molecule: ribosomal RNA, 497 nt
Filed under: uncultured bacterium
Lineage: Bacteria
Description: partial 16S ribosomal RNA
Rfam family: Bacterial small subunit ribosomal RNA
Source: RNAcentral
GACGAACGCUGGCGGCGUGCCUAAUACAUGCAAGUUGAGCGAUGAAGAUUGGUGCUUGCACCAAUUUGAAGAGCAGCGAACGGGUGAGUAACGCGUGGGGAAUCUGCCUUUGAGCGGGGGACAACAUUUGGAAACGAAUGCUAAUACCGCAUAAUAACUUUAAACAUAAGUUUUAAGUUUGAAAGAUGCAAUUGCAUCACUCAAAGAUGAUCCCGCGUUGUAUUGGCUAGUUGGUGAGGUAAAGGCUCACCAAGGCGAUGAUACAUAGCCGACCUGAGAGGGUGAUCGGCCACAUUGGGACUGAGACACGGCCCAAACUCCUACGGGAGGCAGCAGUAGGGAAUCUUCGGCAAUGGACGAAAGUCUGACCGAGCAACGCCGCGUGAGUGAAGAAGGUUUUCGGAUCGUAAAACUCUGUUGGUAGAGAAGAACGUUGGUGAGAGUGGAAAGCUCAUCAAGUGACGGUAACUACCCAGAAAGGGACGGCUAGCUACGUG